This 499-nucleotide ribosomal RNA is filed under the name uncultured Glomeromycotina. RNAcentral's name for it is "partial small subunit ribosomal RNA". It matches the Rfam family "Eukaryotic small subunit ribosomal RNA", at positions 591 to 1092 of the family's 1831-position model. Lineage: Eukaryota; Fungi; Glomeromycota. The record is from RNAcentral.
CCAAUAGCGUAUAUUAAAGUUGUUGCAGUUAAAAAGCUCGUAGUUGAACUUCGGGAUCAAUUGAUUGGUCAUGCCUUGGUAUGUACUGUUCAUAUUGGUUCUCACCUUCUAAUGAACCAUAAUGUCAUUUAUUUGAUGUUAUGGGGAAUUAGGACUGUUACCUUGAAAAAAUUAGAGUGUUUAAAGCAGGCUCACGCUUGAAUACAUUAGCAUGGAAUAAUGAAAUAGGACAUCGCAUUCUAUUUUGUUGGUUUCUAGGAUCGAUGUAAAGAUUAAUAGGUAUAGUUGGGGGCAUUAGUAUUCAAUUGUCAGAGGUGAAAUUCUUGGAUUUAUUGAAGACUAACUACUGCGAAAGCAUUUGCCAAGGAUGUUUUCAUUAAUCAAGAACGAAAGUUAGGGGAUCGAAGACGAUCAGAUACCGUCGUAGUCUCAACCAUAAACUAUGCCGACUAGGGAUCGGAUGAUGUUGAUUUUUUAAUGACUCAUUCGGCACCUUACG